UAGGGAAUCUUCGGCAAUGGACGAAAGUCUGACCGAGCAACGCCGCGUGAGUGAAGAAGGUUUUCGGAUCGUAAAACUCUGUUGUUAGAGAAGAACAAGGACGUUAGUAACUGAACGUCCCCUGACGGUACCUAACCAGAAAGCCACGGCUAACUACGUGCCAGCAGCCGCGGUAAUACGGAGGUGGCAAGCGUUGUCCGGAUUUAUUGGGCGUAAAGCGAGCGCAGGCGGUUUCUUAAGUCUGAUGUGAAAGCCCCCGGCUCAACCGGGGAGGGUCAUUGGAAACUGGGAGACUUGAGUGCAGAAGAGGAGAGUGGAAUUCCAUGUGUAGCGGUGAAAUGCGUAGAUAUAUGGAGGAACACCAGUGGCGAAGGCGGCUCUCUGGUCUGUAACUGACGCUGAGGCUCGAAAGCGUGGGGAGCAAACAGG
Molecule: ribosomal RNA, 429 nt
Filed under: Gemmatimonadota bacterium
Lineage: Bacteria; Pseudomonadati; Gemmatimonadota
Description: Gemmatimonadetes bacterium partial 16S ribosomal RNA
Rfam family: Bacterial small subunit ribosomal RNA
Source: RNAcentral